CAUGUCUAGAGUUGAUAUUUAAAAUAAUUUGUAAUUAUAAUAGUUUAUUUACCAAGGCCAGUAAACAGUUCGUUAGUAUAUUAAAUUAACUGGUCGACCUCCACGUGGUUUUUACUGGAAACUAUCCUGCUUAAUUCUUGUUGAAUUCUUCAUGAUGGGCCGACUGAUUUUUCUUCAUCCUCAUCUAUCACUGGUAUCCCGUCAGCUUAUACCGGUAGCAUAGGCCAGUAGCACUUUCUGUCCGUCUCGGCCAAACAAGCUGCCGGCUCGGAUUCCGUGGUGUAUCCCCAGUCUAUGCUGGACCCGAUGAAGUUCAGGAACAUGGAUGGCACUUGUGCACCGGUGGGUUCAUCGAAACCUGU
Molecule: long non-coding RNA, 362 nt
Organism: Galleria mellonella (greater wax moth)
Lineage: Eukaryota; Metazoa; Arthropoda; Insecta; Lepidoptera; Pyralidae
Exons: 3
Source: RefSeq, a predicted model, not a curated record